AACAGGAUUAGAUACCCUGGUAGUCCACGCCGUAAACGAUGUCGACUUGGAGGUUGUGCCCUUGAGGCGUGGCUUCCGGAGCUAACGCGUUAAGUCGACCGCCUGGGGAGUACGGCCGCAAGGUUAAAACUCAAAUGAAUUGACGGGGGCCCGCACAAGCGGUGGAGCAUGUGGUUUAAUUCGAUGCAACGCGAAGAACCUUACCUGGCCUUGACAUCCAGAGAACUUAGCAGAGAUGCUUUGGUGCCUUCGGGAACUCUGAGACAGGUGCUGCAUGGCUGUCGUCAGCUCGUGUUGUGAAAUGUUGGGUUAAGUCCCGCAACGAGCGCAACCCUUAUCCUUUGUUGCCAGCGGCUCGGCCGGGAACUCAAAGGAGACUGCCGGUGAUAAACCGGAGGAAGGUGGGGAUGACGUCAAGUCAUCAUGGCCCUUACGGCCAGGGCUACACACGUGCUACAAUGGCGCAUACAAAGAGAAGCGACCUCGCGAGAGCAAGCGGACCUCAUAAAGUGCGUCGUAGUCCGGAUUGGAGUCUGCAACUCGACUCCAUGAAGUCGGAAUCGCUAGUAAUCGUAGAUCAGAAUGCUACGGUGAAUACGUUCCCGGGCCUCGUACACACCGCCCGUCACACCAUGGGAGUGGGUUGCAAAAGAAGUAGGUAGCUUAACCUUCGGGAGGGCGCUUACCACUUUGUGAUUCAUGACUGGGGUGAAGUCGUAACAAGGUAACC
This 730-nucleotide ribosomal RNA is filed under the name uncultured bacterium. RNAcentral describes it as "bacterial SSU rRNA". It matches the Rfam family "Bacterial small subunit ribosomal RNA", at positions 771 to 1501 of the family's 1533-position model. The record is from RNAcentral.